RNAcentral lists this ribosomal RNA (447 nucleotides) under uncultured bacterium. RNAcentral's name for it is "partial 16S ribosomal RNA". It matches the Rfam family "Bacterial small subunit ribosomal RNA", at positions 338 to 795 of the family's 1533-position model. The record is from RNAcentral.
CCUACGGGAGGCAGCAGUGGGGAAUCUUGCGCAAUGGGCGGAAGCCUGACGCAGCGACGCCGCGUGCGGGACGAAGGCCUUCGGGUCGUAAACCGCUUUCAGCAGGGACGAGGCCCUCACGGUGACGGUACCUGCAGAAGAAGCCCCGGCUAACUACGUGCCAGCAGCCGCGGUAAUACGUAGGGGGCGAGCGUUAUCCGGAUUUAUUGGGUUUAAAGGGGGCGUAGGCGGACUGUUAAGUCAGCGGUAAAAGCCCGGGGCUCAACCCCGGCGAGCCGUUGAAACUGGCUGUCUUGAGAUGUCGAGAGGUAUGCGGAAUGCGCAGUGUAGCGGUGAAAUGCUUAGAUAUUGCGCAGAACUCCGAUUGCGAAGGCAGCAUACCGGCGGCGAUCUGACGCUGAGGCACGAAAGCGUGGGUAUCGAACAGGAUUAGAUACCCUAGUAGUC